This 561-nucleotide ribosomal RNA is filed under the name uncultured bacterium. RNAcentral describes it as "partial 16S ribosomal RNA". It matches the Rfam family "Bacterial small subunit ribosomal RNA", at positions 355 to 909 of the family's 1533-position model. The record is from RNAcentral.
UGGGGAAUUUUGGACAAUGGGCGAAAGCCUGAUCCAGCAAUGCCGCGUGUGUGAAGAAGGCCUUCGGGUUGUAAAGCACUUUUGUCCGGAAAGAAAUCCUUGGCCCUAAUACAGUCGGGGGAUGACGGUACCGGAAGAAUAAGCACCGGCUAACUACGUGCCAGCAGCCGCGGUAAUACGUAGGGUGCAAGCGUUAAUCGGAAUUACUGGGCGUAAAGCGUGCGCAGGCGGUUUGCUAAGACCGAUGUGAAAUCCCCGGGCUCAACCUGGGAACUGCAUUGGUGACUGGCAGGCUAGAGUAUGGCAGAGGGGGGUAGAAUUCCACGUGUAGCAGUGAAAUGCGUAGAGAUGUGGAGGAAUACCGAUGGCGAAGGCAGCCCCCUGGGCCAAUACUGACGCUCAUGCACGAAAGCGUGGGGAGCAAACAGGAUUAGAUACCCUGGUAGUCCACGCCCUAAACGAUGUCAACUAGUUGUUGGGGAUUCAUUUCCUUAGUAACGUAGCUAACGCGUGAAGUUGACCGCCUGGGGAGUACGGUCGCAAGAUUAAAACUUAAAGGAA